CAGUCGCCACGGGAAUACGUAGGGUGCAAGCGUUAAUCGGAAUUACUGGGCGUAAAGCGCGCGUAGGUGGUUCGCCAAGUUGGAUGUGAAAUCCCCGGGCUCAACCUGGGAACUGCAUCCAAAACUGGCGAGCUAGAGCAUGGUAGAGGGUGGUGGAAUUUCCUGUGUAGCGGUGAAAUGCGUAGAUAUAGGAAGGAACAUCAGUGGCGAAGGCGACCACCUGGACUGAUACUGACACUGAGGUGCGAAAGCGUGGGGAGCAAACAGGAUUAGAUACCCGUGUAGUCCCUGUCUCUUAUAC
This 301-nucleotide ribosomal RNA is filed under the name uncultured bacterium. RNAcentral describes it as "partial 16S ribosomal RNA". It matches the Rfam family "Bacterial small subunit ribosomal RNA", at positions 509 to 807 of the family's 1533-position model. The record is from RNAcentral.